GAUGAACGCUGGCGGCGUGCCUAAUACAUGCAAGUCGAACGAAGAACUUUUGUAGCAAUACGAGAGUUUCUUAGUGGCGAACGGGUGAGUAACGCGUUGGUGACCUGCCCCAAAGUGGGGGAUAACAGAUCGAAAGGUCUGCUAAUACCUCAUGUGGUCAUCGGGAUUAGAAACCGAUGUCUAAAGGAGUAAUCCGCUUUGGGAGGGGCCUGCGUCCCAUCAGCUAGUUGGUAGGGUAAUGGCCUACCAAGGCGUCGACGGGUAAGGGGCCUGAGAGGGUGGCCCCUCACAAUGGAACUGAAACACGGUCCAUACACCUACGGGUGGCAG
This 330-nucleotide ribosomal RNA is filed under the name uncultured Chloroflexota bacterium. RNAcentral's name for it is "bacterial SSU rRNA". It matches the Rfam family "Bacterial small subunit ribosomal RNA", at positions 28 to 351 of the family's 1533-position model. Lineage: Bacteria; Bacillati; Chloroflexota. The record is from RNAcentral.